GAUGAAAGAACGCAGCGAAAUGCGAUAAGUAAUGUGAAUUGCAGAAUUCAGUGAAUCAUCGAAUCUUUGAACGCACAUUGCGCCCGCCAGUAUUCUGGCGGGCAUGCCUGUUCGAGCGUCAUUUCAACCAUCAAGCCCCCGGGCUUGUGUUGGGGACCUGCGGCUGCCGCAGGCCCUGAAAACCAGUGGCGGGCUCGCUAGUCACUCCGAGCGUAGUAGUUACAUCUCGCUCAGGGCGUGCUGCGGGUUCCGGCCGUUAAAAGCCUUUUACCCCAAGGUUGACCUCGGAUCAGGUAGGAAGACCCGCUGAACUUAAGCAUAUCAAUAAGCGGAGGA
This 336-nucleotide unclassified non-coding RNA is filed under the name soil metagenome. RNAcentral's name for it is "partial contains 5.8S ribosomal RNA, internal transcribed spacer 2, and large subunit ribosomal RNA". The stretch from base 6 to 121 matches the Rfam family "5.8S ribosomal RNA", at positions 39 to 154 of the family's 154-position model. The record is from RNAcentral.